UUAAGAAUCUUGCGCAAUGGGCGAAAGCCUGACGCAGCGACGCCGCGUGGACGAUGAAGGCCUUCGGGUUGUAAAGUCCAAUAAGCAGGGAAGAAUAAGCAAAGGGUAAUAUUCUUUGCGAUGACGGUACCUGUCUAAAGCCCCGGCUAACUACGUGCCAGCAGCCGCGGUAAUACGUAUGGGGCUAGCGUUGUUCGGAAUUAUUGGGCGUAAAGGGCGUCUAGGCGGGGAAUUAAGUUAGGUGUGAAAUCCAAGGGCUCAACCCAUGAAUUGCAUCUAAAACUGAUUCUCUUGAGUUCGGGAGAGGAGAGCGGAAUUCCUGGUGUAGCGGUGAAAUGCGUAGAUAUCAGGAGGAACACCGGUGGCGAAGGCGGCUCUCUGGCCUAGAACUGACGCUGAAGCGCGAAAGCGUGGGGAGCAAACG
This 424-nucleotide ribosomal RNA is filed under the name uncultured prokaryote. Its description in RNAcentral is "bacterial SSU rRNA". It matches the Rfam family "Bacterial small subunit ribosomal RNA", at positions 355 to 774 of the family's 1533-position model. The record is from RNAcentral.